RNAcentral lists this long non-coding RNA (210 nucleotides) under Arachis ipaensis. Its description in RNAcentral is "long non-coding RNA (AIPA_LNC002459)". The record is from RNAcentral. Lineage: Eukaryota; Viridiplantae; Streptophyta; Magnoliopsida; Fabales; Fabaceae.
CUUGCAGUCGUUGCUUAUGGUCGUCUAAUUCAGUUUUUAAAGCUGUUACCUUCUCUUCACUUUGUUUUUUGAUUUCAUCUAUUUCUUUAUUUUUCUUAAGAGAAGUUUUUGUAACAGUUCUUCCAUAACAUCGAACUCUUCCUGGAUUCUCUUUACCAAAAACUUUUUGAAAUGCAUUAGUAGGAGUUUCUCCAGCUUCUUGGAGAUCAU